This 618-nucleotide ribosomal RNA is filed under the name Lactococcus lactis. Its description in RNAcentral is "bacterial SSU rRNA". It matches the Rfam family "Bacterial small subunit ribosomal RNA", at positions 73 to 682 of the family's 1533-position model. Lineage: Bacteria; Bacillati; Bacillota; Bacilli; Lactobacillales; Streptococcaceae. The record is from RNAcentral.
ACUUGUACCGACUGGAUGAGCAGCGAACGGGUGAGUAACGCGUGGGGAAUCUGCCUUUGAGCGGGGGACAACAUUUGGAAACGAAUGCUAAUACCGCAUAAAAACUUUAAACACAAGUUUUAAGUUUGAAAGAUGCAAUUGCAUCACUCAAAGAUGAUCCCGCGUUGUAUUAGCUAGUUGGUGAGGUAAAGGCUCACCAAGGCGAUGAUACAUAGCCGACCUGAGAGGGUGAUCGGCCACAUUGGGACUGAGACACGGCCCAAACUCCUACGGGAGGCAGCAGUAGGGAAUCUUCGGCAAUGGACGAAAGUCUGACCGAGCAACGCCGCGUGAGUGAAGAAGGUUUUCGGAUCGUAAAACUCUGUUGGUAGAGAAGAACGUUGGUGAGAGUGGAAAGCUCAUCAAGUGACGGUAACUACCCAGAAAGGGACGGCUAACUACGUGCCAGCAGCCGCGGUAAUACGUAGGUCCCGAGCGUUGUCCGGAUUUAUUGGGCGUAAAGCGAGCGCAGGUGGUUUAUUAAGUCUGGUGUAAAAGGCAGUGGCUCAACCAUUGUAUGCAUUGGAAACUGGUAGACUUGAGUGCAGGAGAGGAGAGUGGAAUUCCAUGUGUAGCCGG